Molecule: microRNA precursor, 202 nt
Filed under: Oryza brachyantha (malo sina)
Lineage: Eukaryota; Viridiplantae; Streptophyta; Magnoliopsida; Poales; Poaceae
Description: MIR812 microRNA precursor family
Rfam family: MIR812 microRNA precursor family
Source: Rfam by way of RNAcentral
AACAAGAUUAUUUUUCAGUUUUUUUAUAUAAUAUUUUGACUCUUCAUUUUAUUUGAAAAUUUUUGGUAAUUAAUAUUUUUAUUUUUACUAAAUGAUAAAAUAUGAAUAGUACUUAAUACGUAUAAUUUUUUAGUUUUUUAUAAAUUUUCAAAUAAGACGAAUAAUCAAACGUUAGACACAAAAAACGAAAAAUGAGGUUAUU